AAGUUAGUGAGGUAUUUGCGGUGAAAGAGGUUCUUGCUACUGAGGAGUUGCAAAACAUUAUACAGAAGAAUAGCUGAAGUUGGGGUCUGAUUAAUAUGGCGUUAAACCUUUGCUUGACUGCUUUAGUGUCAAUAUUCCGCCUAUUGAAAAAGUCUUCCGCUCUAUUUGACAGUUGUGGGAAAGCUAAAUUCAAGGUGUUACAUUGUAAGUUUCCAUGACACCCUUUCUUGGACCAAGACGGAUAGCGUGAAGUUUUCUUACCUACUGUCUUAUCACGUGUAUUAAGAAUGUCAUUCAGUUAAAAACAUUGCUAUUUGGAUCGGUUUAAUUAUUCAUGCUGACUUAAUUACCACAUUUACGUAAAAUAUAUAGACUAAGAGUGUUUAGCUUUUGUGUACCUGGUGAAUUUUUCUCAGUACAUCAUCUUGUAAAUCAUAUCUAUACCUAUAAUCACCUGUUUAGAUUUGGUUGAAGAUA
Long non-coding RNA from Saccostrea cuccullata (small rock oyster), 477 nucleotides. RefSeq lists it as uncharacterized. Lineage: Eukaryota; Metazoa; Mollusca; Bivalvia; Ostreida; Ostreidae. The transcript is spliced from 3 exons. The record is from RefSeq and is a predicted model, not a curated record.